RNAcentral lists this ribosomal RNA (460 nucleotides) under uncultured bacterium. RNAcentral describes it as "partial 16S ribosomal RNA". It matches the Rfam family "Bacterial small subunit ribosomal RNA", at positions 338 to 795 of the family's 1533-position model. The record is from RNAcentral.
CCUACGGGAGGCAGCAGUGAGGAAUAUUGGUCAAUGGGCGGGAGCCUGAACCAGCCAAGUCGCGUGAGGGAAGACGGUCCUAUGGAUUGUAAACCUCUUUAGGCGGGGAGCAAUGCCGGGCACGCGUGCCCGGAGGGAGAGUACCCGCAGAAUAAGCAUCGGCUAACUCCGUGCCAGCAGCCGCGGUAGUACGGGGGAUGCGCGCGUUAUCCGGAUUUAUCGGGGUUAAAGGGUGCGUUGGCGGAUUUUUACGUCAGCGGCAAACUGUCCGGGGUCAGCCCGGGCCGGCCGUUGAAACUGGGGGUCUUGAGUGGGCGAGAGGUAUGCGGAAUGCGUGGUGUAGCGGUGAAAUGCGUAGAUAUCGAGCAGAACUCCGGUUGCGAAGGCAGCAUACCGGCGACCGACUGACGCUGAGGCACGAAAGCGUGGGGAUCGAACAGGAUUAGAUACCCCUGUAGUC